This is a non-coding RNA of Pelobates cultripes (western spadefoot toad), 515 nucleotides long. The record is from the annotation of a GenBank genome assembly. NCBI's taxonomy places the organism in Eukaryota, Metazoa, Chordata, Amphibia, Anura, Pelobatidae.
GAGGCAUUACACCCUCCCUAUGACUCGGACAAACCACUACUGGUUGAAAGCGCACACCAUCCAGGCCCUGAGAUAACCUCAAAAUCUGGUACACACAAGACCAAGGGCGGUAAUUAUCUGUCUUCUAAACUUUUGCGAUAAAGAAACCAUUCUUCAAGCAUAUUGAAGAACAAAUUAAUUAUCCUACCAAGAACAUAAAGUAUUCAUCUUUCAAGACUAUUCACCAUAAGUGGUGGUUAAAAAGUACACAUUUUCUCCAAUUUGCAAAACACUGGUGGAAAAUAAGAACAAAUUCCAACUUUAAUUCCCUGCCAAUGUAAAGUUUACUCAUGAAAACUAAUGUUUAUUUGAUUCGCCUGCUGCAGCUCAGAAACUGAUUUCUAUUGUCAACUUCACCUGAAGUUUCUGAUAUCCUGAUUCCAUGGAUCUCCAAACCACAUGAACUGGUGUCUCACUGGCUGUAUGGGCCGCUCUCUAUGUUCUCAAUGUUUUAUUGUUUGUUUACUCUUGAUUGU